UACGGAGGUGCCGAGCGUUAGGCGGAAUCACUGGGCUUAAAGCGUGUGUAGGCGGGCGGGCAAGUACCUUGUGAAAUCCCACGGCUCAACCGUGGAACGGCUGGGUAUACUGCCUGUCUUGAGCCAACUAGGGGCGAGCGGAACAGACGGUGGAGCGGUGAAAUGCGUAGAUAUCGUCUGGAACGCCGAAGGUGAAAACAGCUCGCUGGGGUUGUGGCUGACGCUGAGACACGAAAGCCAGGGGGAGCGAACGGG
RNAcentral lists this ribosomal RNA (255 nucleotides) under uncultured bacterium. Its description in RNAcentral is "partial 16S ribosomal RNA". It matches the Rfam family "Bacterial small subunit ribosomal RNA", at positions 524 to 776 of the family's 1533-position model. The record is from RNAcentral.